AGAGUUUGAUCCUGGCUCAGAAUCAACGCUGGCGGCGUGCCUAACACAUGCAAGUCGAACGAGAAAGUGGAGCAAUCCAUGAGUAAAGUGGCGCACGGGUGAGUAACACGUGACUAACCUGCCCUUGAGUGGGGAAUAACCUAGGGAAACCUGGGCUAAUACCGCAUAACACCUACGGGUCAAAGGAGCAAUUCGCUUAAGGAGGGGGUCGCGGCAGAUUAGCUAGUUGGCGGGGUAAUGGCCCACCAAGGCGGUGAUCUGUAUCCGGCCUGAGAGGGCGCACGGACACACUGGAACUGAAACACGGUCCAGACUCCUACGGGAGGCAGCAGUGGGGAAUUUUGCGCAAUGGGGGAAACCCUGACGCAGCAACGCCGCGUGGAGGAUGAAGUCCCUUGGGACGUAAACUCCUUUCGAUCGGGACGAUUAUGACGGUACCGGAAGAAGAAGCCCCGGCUAACUUCGUGCCAGCAGCCGCGGUAAUACGAGGGGGGCAAGCGUUGUUCGGAAUUACUGGGCGUAAAGGGUGCGUAGGCGGUUCGGUAAGUCUUAUGUGAAAUCUUCAGGCUCAACUUGAAGUCUGCAUGAGAAACUGCCGGGCUUGAGUGUGGGAGAGGUGAGUGGAAUUUCCGGUGUAGCGGUGAAAUGCGUAGAUAUCGGAAGGAACACCUGUGGCGAAAGCGGCUCACUGGACCAUAACUGACGCUGAUGCACGAAAGCUAGGGGAGCAAACAGGAUUAGAUACCCCCGUAGUCC
Molecule: ribosomal RNA, 756 nt
Filed under: uncultured bacterium
Lineage: Bacteria
Description: bacterial SSU rRNA
Rfam family: Bacterial small subunit ribosomal RNA
Source: RNAcentral